UUUUAAAAUACAACCAUUAUAUAUACAGUAAUUGUAUUAUGACCAUUGAUUAUAGUGGGUCCCAUCAUACUAAAUGAUCAUAGUGUAUCCAUUGUACCUACAACGAUUAUACCGAAUAGAUUUUCGUAAGGGUUUUUAUUGUAAAAUAAUGAGUUUGUUUGGUAAGAAGGUUUUUAAAAAAAGUUAAGAUUUUUAAGAUUUCGAUAUCUCCAUAAACCCAAAUUAGUUAGUUGGGAUGUUUUAAAACGUUACCUUUAAUUACCUUACUUUACUUGAAA
Molecule: unclassified non-coding RNA, 278 nt
Filed under: Hevea brasiliensis (rubber tree)
Lineage: Eukaryota; Viridiplantae; Streptophyta; Magnoliopsida; Malpighiales; Euphorbiaceae
Source: RNAcentral